AACGAACGCUGGCGGCAGGCCUAACACAUGCAAGUCGAACGCUCCGCAAGGGGGAGUGGCGCACGGGUGAGUAACACGUGGGAACCUACCUUCUGGUACGGAACAACCAAGGGAAACUCUGGCUGAUACCGUAUACGACCUCCGGGUGAAAGAUUGAUCGCCGGAAGAGGGGCCCGCGUCCGAUUAGGUAGUUGGUGAGGUAACGGCUCACCAAGCCUGCGAUCGGUAGCUGGUCUGAGAGGAUGACCAGCCACACUGGGACUGAGACACGGCCCAGACUCCUACGGGAGGCAGCAGUGGGGAAUAUUGGACAAUGGGCGCAAGCCUGAUCCAGCCAUGCCGCGUGAGUGAUGAAGGCCUUCGGUUG
This 367-nucleotide ribosomal RNA is filed under the name uncultured bacterium. RNAcentral's name for it is "bacterial SSU rRNA". It matches the Rfam family "Bacterial small subunit ribosomal RNA", at positions 29 to 425 of the family's 1533-position model. The record is from RNAcentral.